GGGCCCGUGGUCUAGCCUGGAUAAGACAUUUGGCUUCGGACCAGAAAAUCGGGGGUUCGAAUCCCUCCGGGCCCGCCA
This 78-nucleotide transfer RNA is filed under the name Hadesarchaea archaeon. RNAcentral's name for it is "tRNA-Arg". It matches the Rfam family "tRNA". From Rfam's summary of the family: Transfer RNA (tRNA) molecules are approximately 80 nucleotides in length. Their secondary structure includes four short double-helical elements and three loops (D, anti-codon, and T loops). Lineage: Archaea; Methanobacteriati; Hadarchaeota (SeqCode); Hadarchaeia (SeqCode). The record is from RNAcentral.